UACGGAGGGUGCAAGCGUUGUCCGGAUUUAUUGGGUUUAAAGGGUGCGUAGGCGGUACGCUAAGUCAGUGGUGAAAUCCCGCAGCUCAACUGCGGAACUGCCAUUGAUACUGGCGUACUUGAGUACAGACGAGGUAGGCGGAAUUUAUGGUGUAGCGGUGAAAUGCAUAGAUACCAUAAAGAACACCGAUAGCGAAGGCAGCUUACUAGACUGUAACUGACGCUGAGGCACGAAAGCGUGGGGAGCGAACAGG
RNAcentral lists this ribosomal RNA (253 nucleotides) under uncultured bacterium. Its description in RNAcentral is "partial 16S ribosomal RNA". It matches the Rfam family "Bacterial small subunit ribosomal RNA", at positions 524 to 776 of the family's 1533-position model. The record is from RNAcentral.